This 61-nucleotide transfer RNA is filed under the name Neotermes insularis. RNAcentral describes it as "tRNA-Ala". Lineage: Eukaryota; Metazoa; Arthropoda; Insecta; Blattodea; Kalotermitidae. The record is from RNAcentral.
GGGGUUGUAGUUAAUUAUAACAUUUAGGUUGCAUCUAAAAAGUACUAAAAAGUCUGCCUUA